This 253-nucleotide ribosomal RNA is filed under the name uncultured bacterium. RNAcentral's name for it is "partial 16S ribosomal RNA". It matches the Rfam family "Bacterial small subunit ribosomal RNA", at positions 524 to 776 of the family's 1533-position model. The record is from RNAcentral.
UACAGAGGUCCCAAGCGUUGUUCGGAUUCAUUGGGCGUAAAGGGUGUGUAGGUGGCGCCGUAAGUCGGGUGUGAAAUUUCGGAGCUUAACUCCGAAACUGCAUUCGAUACUGCGGUGCUUGAGGACUGGAGAGGAGACUGGAAUUCCUGGUGUAGCAGUGAAAUGCGUAGAGAUCAUGAGGAAGACCAGUGGCGAAGGCGGGUCUCUGGACAGUUCCUGACACUGAGACACGAAGGCCAGGGGAGCAAACGGG